Molecule: non-coding RNA, 541 nt
Organism: Cucurbita pepo subsp. pepo (vegetable marrow)
Lineage: Eukaryota; Viridiplantae; Streptophyta; Magnoliopsida; Cucurbitales; Cucurbitaceae
Source: RefSeq, a predicted model, not a curated record
UCUUGUCUUUCCUUUCCCUUCUAUUUUUAUUUGAUUUGAAGUAUCCUUAACUAUUUCCCCCAACAUCUACUGACCUUAUAUAGGCUAGAAACUUUCUGAAGCAGACAAAGAAUUGGUAAGUUCAAGAGGAUUCUUACCAGUUCAUAUACUAAUUCUCCAGCGUCUUAUUCAUCUUGUAUCUUGUUUCGAAAAAUAUUGUCUCGUACUUUACUUAAUCAUCUUCAUGAGCUAAACUUACUUACCUGUGGAGGAAUCUUUGCAUAUUAUGUACCUGCUGAGGUUUUUGUUAAUUGUUUCAUUACAAAAUUUCCUGGCAUUCUAAGUUUUUUCUUAUUGGGUGCACAGUCUGAUGUGAAUACUGUGUGUUUUGCUGAUGAAAGUGGCCAUCUGGUUUACUCUGGAAGUGAUGAUACUUUCUGUAAGGUGUGGGACAGACGCUGCUUUAUAUCUAAAGGGAAGGCUGCAGGGAUUCUAGAAGGACAUGUCGAAGGUAUCACGUUCAUUGAUAGUCGUGGGGAUGGUCGAUAUUUAAUUUCCAAUG